CCCUUAGAUGUCCUGGGCCGCACGCGCGCUACAAUGAUGCAACCAACGAGUGCUGCUCCUUGGCCGAGAGGCCCGGGGAACCUUGCAAACUGCAUCGUGCUGGGGAUAGAUGAUUGCAAUUCUUCAUCUUGAACGAGGAAUGCCUAGUAGGCGCAAGUCAUCAGCUUGCGUCGAUUACGUCCCUGCCCUUUGUACACACCGCCCGUCGCUCCUACCGAUUGGGUGUGCUGGUGAAAUGUUCGGAUCGGCCGUUUGUCGCGGUUUCCGCGUCAUGUGGCUGAGAAGUUCAUUAAACCCUCCCACCUAGAGGAAGGAGAAGUCGUAACA
Molecule: ribosomal RNA, 327 nt
Filed under: uncultured eukaryote
Lineage: Eukaryota
Description: partial 18S ribosomal RNA
Rfam family: Eukaryotic small subunit ribosomal RNA
Source: RNAcentral